Molecule: ribosomal RNA, 235 nt
Filed under: Satarupa monbeigi
Lineage: Eukaryota; Metazoa; Arthropoda; Insecta; Lepidoptera; Hesperiidae
Also listed under: 2 other names
Description: partial large subunit ribosomal RNA
Rfam family: Eukaryotic large subunit ribosomal RNA
Source: RNAcentral
GGACCCGUCUUGAAACACGGACCAAGGAGACCUGCAUGUGUGCUAGUCAUUGAGACUAUACAAAAAACUGAAAGGCGCAACGAAAGUGAAGGCGUGCGCUAGUCGCGCGCUCAGGGAGGAUGGAGCGUCGGUCUAGAUCGAUCUCUCGCACUCCCGAGGCGUCUCGUUUCCAAUCCGUGAAUGCAGGCGCGCUCUGAGCACAGAUGCUGGGACCCGAAAGAUGGUGAACUAUGCA